UUGAGAAUGACUUCCGGAUGGGAGCCGAAACGUCUUGAUUCUGAAAACAGUGUCCAGAUGACUACGACUGAAACCUUUUCUACGAUAAUAAAUGACUGUUAACACGACGGUAGUCUCAGGACACGAAGCUAUAACAUCUUAUUGCUUAUAUUCAUGGGUUAUUUCAUAUCAGUUUAUGCUGUGAGUUUACCUGAAAUCACUCACUACUCACUAUAUAGCGGACUAUAUAGUGAGUGUAGAACAGAUGGUCACUAACCAAAUGAUAUAUACCAUCAUACAUUGCACUAAAAGGAAAAUGGUAAACUGACGAGAGGAGAGAGAGCAAUGAAGGCAGCGCGAAAACUGCCAUCCGUUGUAAGGACCGACGACAAUGUGGCAAACUUUAUUUGCCUGAGGAGAGAGAGGGACCACCUCUUAUCAUGGAAGCGUUUUUCCUCUGCAGCCGGAUGAGAAGUUGUAUUUAAAGAGAUGGGCCUAGCUGGCGACUGGUGACUCCUGCCUGAGCAGCCAAGAAGUGGGAAAACUUAAAAAAGACAUACAAGGUUUGGAUUAAAUGUAUUUAACUAUAGCCCUAGAUAAUGAAAGCAUAGAUGAAAGAUCAGUUACUGUUCUCUUGAGUAUUUUCUUUGCUGUAUUUAGCAUUUGAAAUUAACACUACAUGAAUUGUGCACUGCAAAUAUUUUAUAUAAAUUGCAAUGGCAGAGAGAGAAACAGACUUGCUUGUUUGAGAGUUCCCGGUAAACAUGUGGAAGCCUUGCUGUAGAUUUGCAUGAUGCCAGAGGCUUCAGAGCAGGAUGAUAGGACGGCUGGUUCAGGAAGUGGGGUUCUCUCCUGAGUACGUAAAUCACGCUGUCCUUGCCCCUCUCUUCAGAGCCUUCCUUUACUCGCCAAAAUGGUGACAGAAAGUUGAAAACCAGUGGGGGAAAA
Siniperca chuatsi (mandarin fish) is the source of this 927-nucleotide long non-coding RNA. RefSeq lists it as uncharacterized. The transcript is spliced from 3 exons. The record is from RefSeq and is a predicted model, not a curated record. Lineage: Eukaryota; Metazoa; Chordata; Actinopteri; Centrarchiformes; Sinipercidae.